CCUACGGGAGGCAGCAGUAAGGAAUAUUGGUCAAUGGGCGGAAGCCUGAACCAGCCAUGCCGCGUGCAGGAAGACGGCCCUAUGGGUUGUAAACUGCUUUUGUACCGGAAUAAACCCUUCUACGUGUAGGAGGCUGAAUGUACGGUAAGAAUAAGGAUCGGCUAACUCCGUGCCAGCAGCCGCGGUAAUACGGAGGAUCCGAGCGUUAUCCGGAUUUAUUGGGUUUAAAGGGUGCGUAGGCGGCCUGUUAAGUCAGGGGUGAAAGACGGUAGCUCAACUAUCGCAGUGCCUUUGAUACUGACGGGCUUGAAUGUACUUGAGGUAGGCGGAAUGUGACAAGUAGCGGUGAAAUGCAUAGAUAUGUCACAGAACACCAAUUGCGAAGGCAGCUUACUAAGGUAUGAUUGACGCUGAGGCACGAAAGCGUGGGGAUCAAACAGGAUUAGAUACCCUGGUAGUCCACGCCCUAAACGAUGAAUACUCGAUGUUGGCGAUAUACGGCCAGCGUCUAAGCGAAAGCGUUAAGUAUUCCACCUGGGGAGUACGCCGCAAGGUGAAACUCAAGGAUGNGNGNGNGAGNGCGAGCGACACGAGGAGAG
This 599-nucleotide ribosomal RNA is filed under the name uncultured bacterium. RNAcentral's name for it is "bacterial SSU rRNA". It matches the Rfam family "Bacterial small subunit ribosomal RNA", at positions 338 to 939 of the family's 1533-position model. The record is from RNAcentral.